Symphalangus syndactylus (siamang) is the source of this 2559-nucleotide long non-coding RNA. RefSeq lists it as uncharacterized. Lineage: Eukaryota; Metazoa; Chordata; Mammalia; Primates; Hylobatidae. The record is from RefSeq and is a predicted model, not a curated record.
ACUUCUCUCUCUCACUUGACGUCACCUAAGAUGUGCCUGCUUCCCCUUCUGCCGUGAUUGUACAUUUCCUGAGGCCGCCCCAGCCAUGUGGAAUGACACCCCUGCUAGAAUCUAGGAAUUCAGAAAGAAAAGGACUGCCCUCUGUGCUUCAGGAACAUUCACACAAAAUGUGAAUCCGAAUUGUUGCAGAAUGUCAAAGGAGAGCUCUUCCUGCUGUCUCAGAAUUUCAGCUGGAGCUACAGAGGUCAAAGAGAGGAUGUUAAAUACCCACUAAUUUGAAAGCGAGUUGCCAGGCCAGCUGUGCAGAAGAUGCUAAGGGGCAACCCCGAAAGACAGAUAAGCAUUUGUUUACGACGUGCCUCAAGCCAAUACAAGGAGAAAAAAGAAGAGCAAUAAAGGAAAGACCAUGAGGAUGGGUUUCUGUGAGAAGAGGUGUAGUUUUCUUUUCUUCUCCAUACCUUGACCCAAGUUGAGAGGCUGUAAAAAUGCCCUGACAGAGUUUGGGUGUGCUUCCUGCCCAGAGGAAGACUAACCUGGAGCAAGCAGGUGCGGAGAGAACUUCAGAGAAUUUGGACUCCCUACAGUCGGGGGCACAGGGUUUUGUGUUGACUUGCACUUGUAGAAGUCCGAUGCCAGCCAGGCGCAGUGGCUCACGCCUGUAAUCCUAGCACUUUGGGAGGCCCAGGCGGGUGGAUCACGAGGUCAGGAGAUCGAGACCAUCCUGGCUAACACCGUGAAACCCCGUCUCUAUUAAAAAGAAUACAAACAAUUAGCCAGGAGUGGUGGCGGCGCCUGUACUCCCAGCUACUGGGGAGGCUGAGGCAGGAGAAUGGCGUGAACCCGGGAGGUGGAGCUUGCAGUGAGCCGAGAUUGCGCCAUUGCACUCCAGCCUGGGCGACAGAGUGAGACUCUGUCAAAAAAAAAAAAAAAAGAAAGAAAAAAGAAAAAGAAAGAAAGAAAAAAAAAGGUCCGAUGCCAAUAGGCUGGGCUGCCUUUAGUGGGCCUUAUAGAAGGAAGAGCCAAGAGGCUUUUGAUGGAAGCGAAUUCUAUUUUUGCUUAUCCCAAACCAAGGGUACUAUUUCCAGAGGUCUCUUGGAACUCUAGAAGCUAUCUGGCCUUCGAUUGUUUGGAAAAUGAUCCCACCCCAAAGGGCUUCCUGCUGAGGAAAGAUGAACCUGGUUGAAAGAGGCUGGUCUGUACUGUCGGAUGCAGAAGGAAAGGCAAAGGAUGGAAGAAGCAAAGCUUUUAAGCUGCCACUGAGAGACUGUAUUAUCACCAUAGGCAAGAGUGCUGAGUAAAGUCUGCAGCAAGAGGUGCGGUUGGAUUUCUGAGGAGCCCACCGUACUCCAAGGAGCGGGAAGAACUGGCCCUGUGGCAUCAGCUGCACCAUUUCAGAUUAUAACAUUCCAGUCUAACAUUCCAUUUGAUUUUUUCUCCUCUCUCCCACCUUCAACCUUGGAGAGCUGGAGACAGCAGAGAGAGUGGAAGAGUGGGAGGAAUAGGAGAUCAGUAAAGUAGAUAAAUAGGAAAGAAAGAAACCCUACCUCUUUCUCCAGUGCAGAUUUCUGAGUCUGAUCAGCCUCUGUGUGGGGCUACAAAAAUUGUAGGCUUUAAUAGUAGAAUAUGAAACUAUUUAUUAAACUUCAAGGUGAAGAUAAAAGAUAUAGGAACCUCAUAAGCUUUCAUGCAGAGAGAGGGAUGAAUUGACGAAGUGGUUUUAAUAGAAUAGCAGGGAGGGGGGAUGGAAACAACUGCUUUCUAUUUGUACUGGCUCCCUCAUUAAAGUCACUGCAUUACAUUCCUCAGAAUUAGGGAUAUUUGGAGUGAAAGUAAUAACUCCAAUUCAAUUUUAUUUCUUCAAAUGUGAAUUUGUAUGUUAGCUUGGGUUCCUCCAAAACAGGCUGAGAUAAAGAUUAAGAUGCAAUUUAUUUUGGGUGUGAUUCUCAAAAACAGCAGCAGAGGAAUGUGGAAUGAAGGCAGCUAACAAAGCAUUCAUUUUAAAGCAAGUUAUAUGGUUGGUUAGUAGACCUCAACACCACUGGAAGAACUCUGGAAAUCAGGAUAGGGCACAUGCUUCAGAGUUAUGCCAAUGAAGACAUAAGGGAACUGUGAUGUUCCUAAAUCAACUGCUGUUAGUCUUUGUUACAGAUCUACACUUGGAGAGGCAUUCAUUCUCUGGCGCUUCUAGACUGCAAUAUAGAUGGCAAGAAGACACUGCCAGCAAGAAUAGCUCUCAGGCAAAAUAUAUGCAUGCUGGCAAGAGCUGCACUGCAAUAGGGCAAGAAAAUGUAAACAGGGAACUGACAAAAUCAAGUAUGUACCAUGGAUCAUAUAUUAAGAUGGGAGAGUAAAACAUAGAUAGCUCCAUCUUUUCUAUUGGGGAGUUUUAAGAAUAGAUUUAAGUUCUCUCUUGGGAAGCUUUAUGUGUAAUGUGUCUGAAGCAAAGAAUAUUGAACAACUCCUGUGCGUUUCUAUUAGAGCUAUUACAUAUAGUUAUAAAAAGGAGACAUUUUUAUUUGUACUAGAGGUCAGACUUUUCAAGUUUUAAAAUUUAAAAAU